GACGAACCGUGCGAACGUUAUUCGGAAUCAUUGGGCUUAAAGGGCGCGUAGGCGGCGGUGUAAGUUGGAAGUGAAAUCCCAUCGGCUCAACCGUGGAAUUGCUCCCAGUACUGCAUCGCUCGAGGGGGAUAGGGGUCUGCGGAACUACCGGUGGAGCGGUGAAAUGUGUUGAUAUCGGUGGGAACGCCAGUGGCGAAAGCGGCAGACUGGACCCUUCCUGACGCUGAGGCGCGAAAGCUAGGGGAGCAAACGGG
RNAcentral lists this ribosomal RNA (254 nucleotides) under uncultured bacterium. RNAcentral describes it as "partial 16S ribosomal RNA". It matches the Rfam family "Bacterial small subunit ribosomal RNA", at positions 524 to 776 of the family's 1533-position model. The record is from RNAcentral.